UGAUUCUCUAUCAGGAUCCAUUGGUCUGUC
RNAcentral lists this non-coding RNA (30 nucleotides) under Mus musculus (house mouse). Lineage: Eukaryota; Metazoa; Chordata; Mammalia; Rodentia; Muridae. The record is from RNAcentral. RNAcentral also lists the same sequence under 1 other name.